UCUUCCUACUUUCAGAAAAAAAAAAAGAAAGAAAGGGAGGAAUUCUCUCUGGGCGUCCCACCUCCUGCGAUUGGACCGUCGUCCGUCCGUCACCGGCGACUGCCGUGUACGGUAGCCGGACGUGCACAAGUGGCUCAUUUUAACCCUUUGGCCCUCCCCGCCUCGGAUCUGAGUUCAAACACCCAAAAAGGGCACGAUUUUUGAAAGAAAAUGGGAAAACCAUUCGGUUCCCUUCUUUCCGACCACCCAAAAAGGUGUCAGAGGAGCUGGUCGUACGGGCGAUAGGACGGGGGCUGACAUGGGAGGAGCGGCGCACGUAAGGGAGGGGAACCCUAAGGUUCCAAAAAAUGUUGAGUUUUUGAGCUGGGUUUUGAUUUGGGCCGUGUAUGGGUUUAGGUCUAUUUUGUUUGGGUUAAGAGUUGUAAAGUGGGCCCGGUCAAAUUUUGGCCUCUACAGCAAUAUUUCGAAACAAAAUGUUUGGGUUGUAAUUCUUACUGAUACUUGGGAUGUGUGAUAGCCAAUAUUUUAAGACUAAUCCAUUUCAAAGAACUUAUUUUAAA
Molecule: long non-coding RNA, 560 nt
Organism: Gossypium arboreum
Lineage: Eukaryota; Viridiplantae; Streptophyta; Magnoliopsida; Malvales; Malvaceae
Exons: 2
Source: RefSeq, a predicted model, not a curated record